This is a long non-coding RNA of Oryzias latipes (Japanese medaka), 658 nucleotides long. RefSeq lists it as uncharacterized. The record is from RefSeq and is a predicted model, not a curated record. Lineage: Eukaryota; Metazoa; Chordata; Actinopteri; Beloniformes; Adrianichthyidae.
CCUUGCUCGGUCGACCGAUUUGCUGAUAAGGCUUUGUUCUAAAAAUCACAGUGAAUUUUGAUAGAUGGAACAGGUUUAUCAGUCACUCUGAUCGUUUUUUGUAGUUUUGAUCCUCCUUCAGUUUACUUUUUGAUGGCCUUUAUUUCAGUACCUGCAGCUCCUGGAGUUUUUCUCUUGACCGAGGCCGGUUUGGCUCCCUGAUACCCAUAACCAAAAGGUUGGACACCCCGGCGAGUCACAAGAAGUUUGUGUCUCAAUCCUGCUGAGAGAAACACAUCCUGACACCACCGCUGUCCUUUUUCCAACAAGAGAACGUUCUGCUGCAGCUUCGUCCUCUUCUCAGGAUCAGCUCUUUCAAACGUUUUCAUGCACUCCCGGCCCUCUGUGCCCGGCAAACCCAGGGUGCGGUUCUCCAGGCAGUAAUCAGGAGAGUCUUCAAGGUGGACCAGCUCCUUGCGGGAGAUGGAGCUGAAGGUCUCUGCGAUAGCUCCUCGACUGGCUGCACUGUUCCCUGCUCCUCGUAGGAGGUCCACUUUCAGCGCCCGGUGGUAUUUCUCCUUAAGCCACAGUUGUCAAAGUCUCCCAGACUGCAGUUCCUGGUCAGGGUGUACAUGACCCCAGCAGAGCUGAUGGCGUGGACAAACGCAGCUUCUCGAUU